UUCAUUAUAUUAAGAAUAGGUGAAAGUAAUACACUGAAUAUUAUUUUCUCUCUACAUUUCUCUCAUCUCUCUGCUCUCUUCUAUCUUUUCUUUCUCUUCUUCUUCUUGAAAUAAGUAAACGUAUUCAUCAAGAACACUCAACAGUUUUACAUUGUUAUAUGGUAUCAAAGCUUUACGCACUAGUAAUCUUGGGAAAUUCUGCAUGUAGGCCUGAAAAUGGAACAUGCACCAAAUUAAGAUUCCUUUCCUGAAUCAAUGUGGAGGCAUAGGGAAAGAGUCAAUGCAGUAGUACUGUCUUGGAUCAUGAAUUCAGUGGAAAAAGAAUUGUUAGGAGGUAUCAUGUAUUCUUCAACGAAAGAUUUAACAAGAUAAAUGGGUCGAGAAUUUUCAACCUGCACAAAGAAAUUGCAACUUUGGCUCAAGGAUCUUUAUAAUUUGAAGGUGAAUGAGAUUGGUAAGAAAGAAGGUAGUUUAUACAUCCUAAUGAAUCAAGCAUAUUAGUACAGUAGAAGAUUGUCUCUAACCACAACAACUAGUAAGACAACUGUCAACUCUACUGAAGACAUACAACUGUGGCACAAAAGGCUUGGUCAUGUGUCUACUAGUGUCUUAAAUAAAUACUAUUUAUAAGUACAAAUAGCAUAGCACAGACAUUAAAGAAAUGUAUUGUUUGUUGUUGUUUAAAACAAACUAGACUGACUUUUCUUAGUAGACUGACAUUAAAGAAAUGUAUUGUUUGUUGUUGUUUAAAACAAACUAGACUGACUUUUCUUAGUAGUAGUAUCAGUACUAGUUCUGCAUUUGAUUUAGUACGUAUGAACAUACGGGGACCUUACAAAGUUGGUGCAUUUGAUGAAAAUAAAUAUUUUCUAACAGUUGUGGAUGAUUGUACUAGAAUGACAUGGGUGUUCUUACUCAAGUUAAAGUCUGAUGUAUGUGUGGUCUUACAACAGAUUCUUACUUAUGUUAAGACUCAAUUUGAUAAAACAGUUAAAGUCCUAAGAACUGACAAUGGCACUGAGUUCAUGAACUCAGCUUGUGCAGAUUUUUUCAAGUCUCUGGUAUCAUACAUCAAACAACUUAUGCUUAUACCCCUUAGCAAAAUGGAGUUGCUGAGAGGAAACACAGGCUCAUACUUGAAGUCAUUAGAGCUCUCAAAUUCCAAAGAAAAAUUCCUAUAAAGUUCUGGGGUGUAUGUGUUCAAACUGCAGUAUACUUGAUAAAUAGAAUACCUAGUACUAUAGUUUAUAACAUGUCUGCGUAUGAGAGACUAUAUAGCAAGAAACCUAUGCUUUCACACUUAAGAGUUAUAGGACACUUGAGCUUAGCCAAGAAUUUACAAAAACAAGGUAAGCUGCAGUUAUGGUCAAAGAUAUCAAUUCUGUUAGGAUAUUUUGGUACACAAAAAUGGUAUAUACUGUUUGAUGUUCAUGGAAAAAAGUUAUUUGUGAGCAGAGAUGUUGAGUUCAGAGAAGACAUUUUUCCAUUUAAUCAAGGUACUCAACAAAAAGAAGUCUUCUUUCCUACAGUAUCUCCUGAGUCUUACAUAUAUAGUGAACCUAUAGAGGGGGAGGUUGGUAAUCAACCUCAGACUUUUACAGUUGAAAAUGACACAACUAAUACUGAAGUUGUUCAGACUAGUUCAACUAGUUCUGAACCUCAGGUUACUCAACAUAAGUCAACUAAUGUUGAGCCUGCAAGAAGGUCAACCAGAGAAAAGAAAUCCUCCUAUUUGGUUGAAGGAUUUUGUAUCUCUCAACAUUCAUCAAGACACACCUUAUUCCAUCUCCAAGUUUGUGGCUUAUGAUCAGUUGUCAUCUAAAUAUUAAUGUUACUUGUCUUCUUUUUCAGUUGAGACAGAACCAGCAAACUACCAUGAAGCUAAGAAAGAUCCCAAGUGGAUUGAAGCAAUGCAAAGUGAAAUAGAUGCAUUGGACAACAAUAAUACCUGGGACAUAGUAACUCUACCAGAAAGAAAGGUUUCAAUAGGUUGCAAAUGGAUAUUAAAGAUUAAGUAUAAGGCAUCAGGGGAGGUAGAUAGGUUUAAGGCAAGACUAGUUGUCAAAGAGUAUAGUCAAAGAAAAGGAAUUGAUUACCAAGAAACUUUUUCUCCUGUUAUCAAGAUGAAAACUGUCAGAAAUGUAUUUACCUUGGCAACAACAAAUCAGUGGCAUGUUCAUCAAAUGGAUGUAUAUAAUGUUUUUUAACAAGGAGACUUAAAUGAUGGAAUGUACAUGAAACUUCCACAAGGAUGUCAUAGCCAGGGGGAGAAUAAAGUAUGUAGUGUUAUGUCGGAAAAAGACGGUUUAAAAUUAAUUUUAACUUUGUAGAGAGAAAAUCAAUUUUAGAAAAAAGAG
RNA transcript from Solanum dulcamara, 2357 nucleotides. It is a transcript of the gene named scarecrow-like protein 14, with no coding region annotated. The record is from RefSeq and is a predicted model, not a curated record. The transcript is spliced from 2 exons. NCBI's taxonomy places the organism in Eukaryota, Viridiplantae, Streptophyta, Magnoliopsida, Solanales, Solanaceae.